CUCGGACUAGGUACAACUUGAAGUAGACAGGAUAGCCUGGGGUCUUUCCUUUUUACAAUCCAAAUGGGACACUGGCAAGCUGACAGUAUUAGUAUAAUUUUACAUCUGAAUUCAGAAACCUUUGCAAGUUGCGUUCACAUGGUAGAAGUGUGAAUUGAUGUAUAUAUGGAGUGUACGGUAUGAGGCGUAUUAUGAACAUAAUCAGAAAUCAUGAAAAGGAAACAUUUGUUCACAUUAAUAUAGGAAAUUAAAAUUAUUGCCUGAAUUAAUGAUAAAUCCC
Molecule: non-coding RNA, 280 nt
Organism: Pelobates cultripes (western spadefoot toad)
Lineage: Eukaryota; Metazoa; Chordata; Amphibia; Anura; Pelobatidae
Source: the annotation of a GenBank genome assembly